GCCUAGUUCCGUUUUUGCAACGGAAGCGGGGGAACCACGUUUUGGGGUUAAUUCUGCGCAUGCAGAAGGGAUGCGUCUCUGCCAUCCUACCCGUCAGCUAACCUCGUCGGCUAA
RNAcentral lists this small RNA (114 nucleotides) under Brevibacillus massiliensis. RNAcentral describes it as "ydaO/yuaA leader". It matches the Rfam family "c-di-AMP riboswitch aptamer (ydaO/yuaA leader)", at positions 12 to 118 of the family's 134-position model. From Rfam's summary of the family: This family represents a conserved RNA structure found upstream of the ydaO and yuaA genes in Bacillus subtilis and related genes in other bacteria. The ydaO/yuaA element is thought to act as a genetic "off" switch for the ydaO and yuaA genes in its native state. Lineage: Bacteria; Bacillati; Bacillota; Bacilli; Caryophanales; Paenibacillaceae. The record is from RNAcentral.